AAUGUACUGUAACUCCAAUUCCAAU
RNAcentral lists this non-coding RNA (25 nucleotides) under Cricetulus griseus (Chinese hamster). The record is from RNAcentral. Lineage: Eukaryota; Metazoa; Chordata; Mammalia; Rodentia; Cricetidae.